UCGAGGGGCAGCACGGUGUAGCAAUACACUGGUGGCGACCGGCGCACGGGUGCGUAACGCGUAUGCAACCUACCCAUAACAGGGGGAUAACACUGAGAAAUUGGUACUAAUACCCCAUAAUAUCAUAGAAGGCAUCUUUUAUGGUUGAAAAUUCCGAUGGUUAGAGAUGGGCAUGCGUUGUAUUAGCUAGUUGGUGGGGUAACGGCCCACCUAGUCAACGAUGGAUAGGGGUUCUGAGAGGAAGGUCCCCACAUUGGAACUGAGACACGGUCCAAACUCC
This 280-nucleotide ribosomal RNA is filed under the name uncultured Alistipes sp. RNAcentral describes it as "partial 16S ribosomal RNA". It matches the Rfam family "Bacterial small subunit ribosomal RNA", at positions 62 to 339 of the family's 1533-position model. Lineage: Bacteria; Pseudomonadati; Bacteroidota; Bacteroidia; Bacteroidales; Rikenellaceae. The record is from RNAcentral.